AAUAGAUACCCUGGUAGUCCACGCCGUAAACGAUGAGUGCUAAGUGUUGGGGGGUUUCCGCCCCUCAGUGCUGCAGCUAACGCAUUAAGCACUCCGCCUGGGGAGUACGGUCGCAAGACUGAAACUCAAAGGAAUUGACGGAGGCCCGCACAAGCGGUGGAGCAUGUGGUUUAAUUCGAAGCAACGCGAAGAACCUUACCAGGUCUUGACAUCCCGGUGACCACUAUGGAGACAUAGUUUCCCCUUUGGGGGCAACGGUGACAGGUGGUGCAUGGUUGUCGUCAGCUCGUGUCGUGAGAUGUUGGGUUAAGUCCCGCAACGAGCGCAACCCUUAUUCUUAGUUGCCAUCAUUCAGUUGGGCACUCUAAGGAGACUGCCGGUGAUAAACCGGAGGAAGGUGGGGAUGACGUCAAAUCAUCAUGCCCCUUAUGACCUGGGCUACACACGUGCUACAAUGGACGGUACAAACGGUUGCCAACCCGCGAGGGGGAGCUAAUCCGAUAAAACCGUUCUCAGUUCGGAUUGUAGGCUGCAACUCGCCUAC
This 544-nucleotide ribosomal RNA is filed under the name uncultured bacterium. RNAcentral's name for it is "bacterial SSU rRNA". It matches the Rfam family "Bacterial small subunit ribosomal RNA", at positions 777 to 1319 of the family's 1533-position model. The record is from RNAcentral.